RNAcentral lists this ribosomal RNA (1446 nucleotides) under Limosilactobacillus fermentum. Its description in RNAcentral is "bacterial SSU rRNA". It matches the Rfam family "Bacterial small subunit ribosomal RNA". The record is from RNAcentral. Lineage: Bacteria; Bacillati; Bacillota; Bacilli; Lactobacillales; Lactobacillaceae.
CAAGUCGAACGCGUUGGCCCAAUUGAUUGAUGGUGCUUGCACCUGAUUGAUUUUGGUCGCCAACGAGUGGCGGACGGGUGAGUAACACGUAGGUAACCUGCCCAGAAGCGGGGGACAACAUUUGGAAACAGAUGCUAAUACCGCAUAACAGCGUUGUUCGCAUGAACAACGCUUAAAAGAUGGCUUCUCGCUAUCACUUCUGGAUGGACCUGCGGUGCAUUAGCUUGUUGGUGGGGUAACGGCCUACCAAGGCGAUGAUGCAUAGCCGAGUUGAGAGACUGAUCGGCCACAAUGGGACUGAGACACGGCCCAUACUCCUACGGGAGGCAGCAGUAGGGAAUCUUCCACAAUGGGCGCAAGCCUGAUGGAGCAACACCGCGUGAGUGAAGAAGGGUUUCGGCUCGUAAAGCUCUGUUGUUAAAGAAGAACACGUAUGAGAGUAACUGUUCAUACGUUGACGGUAUUUAACCAGAAAGUCACGGCUAACUACGUGCCAGCAGCCGCGGUAAUACGUAGGUGGCAAGCGUUAUCCGGAUUUAUUGGGCGUAAAGAGAGUGCAGGCGGUUUUCUAAGUCUGAUGUGAAAGCCUUCGGCUUAACCGGAGAAGUGCAUCGGAAACUGGAUAACUUGAGUGCAGAAGAGGGUAGUGGAACUCCAUGUGUAGCGGUGGAAUGCGUAGAUAUAUGGAAGAACACCAGUGGCGAAGGCGGCUACCUGGUCUGCAACUGACGCUGAGACUCGAAAGCAUGGGUAGCGAACAGGAUUAGAUACCCUGGUAGUCCAUGCCGUAAACGAUGAGUGCUAGGUGUUGGAGGGUUUCCGCCCUUCAGUGCCGGAGCUAACGCAUUAAGCACUCCGCCUGGGGAGUACGACCGCAAGGUUGAAACUCAAAGGAAUUGACGGGGGCCCGCACAAGCGGUGGAGCAUGUGGUUUAAUUCGAAGCUACGCGAAGAACCUUACCAGGUCUUGACAUCUUGCGCCAACCCUAGAGAUAGGGCGUUUCCUUCGGGAACGCAAUGACAGGUGGUGCAUGGUCGUCGUCAGCUCGUGUCGUGAGAUGUUGGGUUAAGUCCCGCAACGAGCGCAACCCUUGUUACUAGUUGCCAGCAUUAAGUUGGGCACUCUAGUGAGACUGCCGGUGACAAACCGGAGGAAGGUGGGGACGACGUCAGAUCAUCAUGCCCCUUAUGACCUGGGCUACACACGUGCUACAAUGGACGGUACAACGAGUCGCGAACUCGCGAGGGCAAGCAAAUCUCUUAAAACCGUUCUCAGUUCGGACUGCAGGCUGCAACUCGCCUGCACGAAGUCGGAAUCGCUAGUAAUCGCGGAUCAGCAUGCCGCGGUGAAUACGUUCCCGGGCCUUGUACACACCGCCCGUCACACCAUGAGAGUUUGUAACACCCAAAGUCGGUGGGGUAACCUUUUAGGAGCCAGCCGCCUAA